This 331-nucleotide long non-coding RNA is filed under the name Amborella trichopoda. Its description in RNAcentral is "long non-coding RNA (ATRI_LNC001333)". The record is from RNAcentral. Lineage: Eukaryota; Viridiplantae; Streptophyta; Magnoliopsida; Amborellales; Amborellaceae.
AAAACCGGAUCGGUGACUCUGAUCGGGCUUUUCAAAAAUCGAUCCGGAUCGGCGAAUCGGCGAUCCGGAUCGGAAUCGGGUGAAUCGGUCAGAAUAAAGCUUCAAAAAAAUCCGAAAAAAUUAUUAAAAUUCAUUAUAAAUAUUGUUUUUUAGGAAUUCAAUAAAAAAUGAGGGUACUCCAUUAAGAAUUUUCAUGUUUUUGAAUGAAUAUGCGAAUAUUGAUAUGUUCUUCCCUUGCAUGAACCGCCAUUCAACAUUUAAUUUACAUCACACAAAAGGAUAAACAUAGAAUUAUCAUGGAAUAAGUAUAUCAGCAUACAUGGACUACAAU